RNAcentral lists this ribosomal RNA (413 nucleotides) under uncultured bacterium. Its description in RNAcentral is "bacterial SSU rRNA". It matches the Rfam family "Bacterial small subunit ribosomal RNA", at positions 505 to 916 of the family's 1533-position model. The record is from RNAcentral.
GUGCCAGCCGCCGCGGUAAUACGGAGGGUGCGAGCGUUAAUCGGAAUUACUGGGCGUAAAGGGCGCGUAGGCGGUCGCGCAAGUCGGGUGUGAAAGCCCCGGGCUCAACCUGGGAAUUGCAUUCGAUACUGCGUAACUAGAGUCUGGUAGAGGGAAGCGGAAUUCCGCAUGUAGCGGUGAAAUGCGUAGAUAUGCGGAGGAACACCAGUGGCGAAGGCGGCUUCCUGGACCAAGACUGACGCUGAGGCGCGAAAGCGUGGGGAGCAAACAGGAUUAGAUACCCUGGUAGUCCACGCCCUAAACGAUGAGGACUAGACGUUGGGGGGAUAAAACCCCUUAGUGUCGCAGCUAACGCGUGAAGUCCUCCGCCUGGGGAGUACGGCCGCAAGGUUGAAACUCAAAUGAAUUGGCGG